This is a long non-coding RNA of Homo sapiens (human), 820 nucleotides long. NCBI's taxonomy places the organism in Eukaryota, Metazoa, Chordata, Mammalia, Primates, Hominidae. The record is from Ensembl.
AGGCCACGUUGCGCACUGGACGCGCUCGGACUCAAGACUGAUUAACCAGCACCGGGGUUUUCUGGGGCCUCGCCUGGGCCGCGGCCUGAGCAGAAGCGCUAGGAGGUAGAACAGCGUCCAGCGGGGAGAGGAGCUAGAGUCGGCAUCGGGAAGCCCACCCUGGAGCCUGCUUAGCUUGACGAGCCCUCAACCGGGGCGCCCUGCUCUGCGAAGAGUAACCCUGCAUCCUCAGAACAACCGUGAUUGUCUUCAUUCCUACAUAUGAGGAACGGAGGCGCGGAGCCCCACGGCAGCCGGGGAUCCAAAGACAGCCUCCCUCCAGUUCCAUCUGCCGGCUCUUGGAAGGCCUGGAUCCCUGUCCUUCAGGGCCCAGCCCAAAUGCCGCCUCGUCCAUCUGCAUUUUACGGCCAGGUGCCCCGCUGCGGGCACGGCUUCUUGUAAAAUGCUCAGCUCAGCAGUGGGCGAGGCAGGGUCCCUGCCCCAUGGGAUGGAGGGCGGAGAUCAGGACCCACAAGAGCCCAAAGAAGACCAUUUUGGUCGGUGAAGACCAAAGAAAUUCAAGCAGGAGGAUGUGACAGGAGCUUUUGGGAAAGCCUCUGAGGAGGUGACAGCCAUGCAACCGUGUUCGGGGAAGUGUGCCGCAGGCAGAGGGGAAAUGAGUGCAAAAGCCCUGAAGCUGGAGUUCGGUGUCUGGAUAACAGGAAAGGCCUGCAUAGCUGAUGUGUGCCAGAGGGGAGAAAGAUCUGUGACACAGGGGGGCCGCCAUGUUUAAUUUGGAGUUUUGUGUGGAAGGGGGUCAUUCAUUGAGUCUGAAUUGGGA